GUAGGAUAUCCCAUUCUUUAGAAAGGUACUUCAUAUUCCUGCAAAGAAUUUAAAGAAAGUAUUUCUUAAGGAAGAUUGAGAACAUAGAGAUAAUCCCAAAACCUACAACGAGGCGAUGUGGUGCAUCAAUCCUGAGAAAUGGAUAUAUAGAUAGCCCUACUAAAUGGCUAUCUUUGAAAGGUAUCUAUUUAUAGUGGCCUAUGGAUUUCACUUCCAGUGAUAGAGAUCACACUAUGAAAAUCUAUUUU
RNAcentral lists this long non-coding RNA (248 nucleotides) under Elaeis guineensis (African oil palm). Its description in RNAcentral is "long non-coding RNA (EGUI_LNC050202)". The record is from RNAcentral. Lineage: Eukaryota; Viridiplantae; Streptophyta; Magnoliopsida; Arecales; Arecaceae.